This 2027-nucleotide long non-coding RNA is filed under the name Homo sapiens (human). RNAcentral describes it as "HSALNT0290254". Lineage: Eukaryota; Metazoa; Chordata; Mammalia; Primates; Hominidae. The record is from RNAcentral.
CUCUGCAAAGAUCUUUGUGUGUCUGGCUCUGGGGUGUGUGUUUUUAUUUUUUUAGUGGGGGGUGGUUUAGUUUUUGAAAGCAGCGUCCUGUUGGGAAAGGUGGUUAGUCUGGUUUCGGGGCGACUGUCUCAAGGUAAAGGAAUUUAAUUUAUUUGGGACAAGGCUGUGUCGGAUGAUCAAGCUGCUUAUUAUGGCUAAUGAGUAUUUUUCACCUGAGAAUCUGUGGGAUGAGGUGGCUGUUAUCAGUUCAAAGUGAGGGGCCCCGGACUGUCUCCCACCUGCCUCUUUAGCCCCCACCCUAGGGGUGGUGAUGGACCAGACAGACUACUCAACGUAGGCAUCUGGGUUUGGGGGCCUCCUGUGGGACAAGGCCGGGGGCUCCAGGAGGCCUGGUGCUCACCUGGGGCAGUUUAUCCUGAUAUUUUGGUGUUUUCUUGGGUUUAAUCUAAUUCUUUCCAGUGUUUUUGCCUUCAGCUCUUGCGGGCUUCCCAUGGGCCCUGGCUAUUGAAACCAAAUUUUGACCAGGACCCUCACGUGCUAGGUUGACAAAAGCAGCUGUCUUCUUAAAUGUUUUAAAAGAAACAAGCAGCCCGAUCAUUCAUUGAGACUGAUCUCUGAACUCUCCUGGUUCAUUGAUGGGAUAGGUGAUACUGGUGGCUGUUAGCGUUGUUGUUUAUAAUAGGCCCAAGUUCACAGCAUCGGCCCUUGGGACCCAUGAGCUGAUAUCUGACCUUCUAAAGGUCAGUGGGCAGAGAGACCGGAGGCAGCCCUGAGGGGAUGAGGAUGGGUGGCACGGUGGCCGGUGAAGAAGGGCCUGUGUUUGUUGGGGGGAGGUGUCAUUUGCAGAGUUUGAGGACUGUGUGACACCAGGUGUGAUCUUGGCUGGUCUGACGUGGAGGGCCUGGGGACCUCUGCGCCCGGGAAGGGUGUGACACCCCCUGCUGGGCAAAGUGGUAAAGGUGUCUAAGGCCAAGGCUGCCACCCUGCCCCUCCCUGCCCUCCACUCCCACAGAGAACCUGCCUGCCCCCACCUCCAGUCGGUGUCUCAUCACCUCCCUCUCAGGCCCCACCCCCUUUCUUCGGAAAUGGGGCCCCCACCCAUCCCAGCCAAGAAGCAGACCUCAGAGAUGGGCCUGGUGGCAAUGCACCACCCCUUACCUGGGGCAGGAGAGCCUCUGCUUGUGGGCCAGCACACAGGACCCAGGCAUUGCAGAGCUGGAAGGCAGGCCCUCUGGUCGGCCUCCUCCUAACCUGGGUGCCAGCUGGAGCCAGCGUCCAUCCUCCUGCCAUCCACCAACCAGUCCCUCCAAGUCUGUCGUGGGGACAGUACUCCAAAGCCCUUCUCUAGGGUGUCCUGACUGGAGCGAGGGCCUCCCAGCCCUGGUAGGAGGCAGGUGGCAGAGCCUCUUGUGGCUUCUCUCCUGGGCCUUAGGGAGACUGACUUCUCCCAGCACUCCAGGGACAGGCUCUGGAAACUUUUCCUAGAAGCUAGAAGGGACCCUGAGGUCAGCUGCUUCCUCCUGUAGCUGGAGUAGAGCACUCCCAGUGGGACUCAGGCCUGGACUCUGGCCACUCAGAGGGGAGGCCCAGGGUGGCAGAGUUCUGACUGUUUCCUGGAGGAGUCAUCUGGUGAUACCAUCUCAGUCUCUUCUUUGAACUUGGAAGUUUCACUUAUAAUCUCAGAACUUCAGAAGAAAAGCAGUCUUCCCCCCACUUCACCAAAAAAGGGAAGCAGAUGAGGACGCUGAGAUCCCCUCUGAGCUGGUCCCUGGGCUGACUCCAUGCUCAUCUUCAGGAGCUGGGAACAGCUCCCUCAACUUCAUAGUGCACACGGCAUACAGCUGGGGCCAUGGGCCUCGUCUCUGGCCGGGGCUCGUGGCUGGUGAAGUGAGGGUCCCUUCCUCUGGGGCAGCGUGGGCAGCUUCAGCCGAGGGCCUCUCUGACAUAGUCCAAGGCCAGGGGCGCAGGCCUCGAAGGGCUGCUGGCAUCAUGGACCCACCAUGCCUCCCUGAUCCCUUUACUUGGCC